UAAGACGAGGAUAACGGACUGGAAACGGUCGCGUAAAACUGGAUAGGAUCAUUUGAGGCAUCUCGAAUGAUUUAAAGGGGCUUUCAAGCCACACUUAGAGAAAGGCCUGCGGCGCAUUAGCUAGUUGGUGGGGUAGAGGCCUACCAAGGCGAUGAUGCGUAGCCGGACUGAGAGGUCGAACGGCCACAUUGGGACUGAGACACGGCCCAAACUCCUACGGGAGGCAGCAGUAGGGAAUUUUCGGCAAUGGGGGAAACCCUGACCGAGCAACGCCGCGUGAAUGAAGACGUAUUUCGGUAUGUAAAGUUCUUUUAUUAGGAAGAAUAUCACGGAUAGGAAAUGAUCUGUGAGUGACGGUACUUAAUGAAUAAGCCCCGGCUAACUAUGUGCCAGCCGCGGC
RNAcentral lists this ribosomal RNA (400 nucleotides) under uncultured bacterium. RNAcentral's name for it is "bacterial SSU rRNA". It matches the Rfam family "Bacterial small subunit ribosomal RNA", at positions 133 to 518 of the family's 1533-position model. The record is from RNAcentral.